This 921-nucleotide long non-coding RNA is filed under the name Homo sapiens (human). RNAcentral's name for it is "non-protein coding LINC02484:10". Lineage: Eukaryota; Metazoa; Chordata; Mammalia; Primates; Hominidae. The record is from RNAcentral.
CUGGGGUUCCCUUCCACACUGCGGAAGCUUUGUUCUUUCGCUCUUUGCAAUAAAUCUUGCUACUGCUCACUCUUUGGGUCCACGCUGCUUUUAUGAGCUGUAACACUCACCGCGAAGAUCUGCAGCUUCACUCCUGAGCCCAGGGAGACCACGAGCCCACCGGGAGGAACGAACAACCCCAGACGCGCGGCCUUAAGAGCUGUAACACUCACCGCGAAGGUCUGCAGCUUCACUCCUGAGCCAGCGAGACCACGAACCCACCAGAAGGAAGAAACUCCGAACACAUCUGAACAUCAGAAGGGACAGACUCCAGACGCGCCACCUUAAGAGCUGUAACACUCACGGCGAGGGUCCGCGGCUUCAUUCUUGAAGUCAGUGAGACCAAGAACCCACCAAUUCUGGACACACAAUGAGAUAAUAACAUAAGUUUGAAAACUGCAAUUGGGCCUACUAAGGAACCAUGAUAGUGUUUGGUACAUAGAGGACACUGGAAAUGGUUUUCUUAACUGAACAAGUGACUAGAAUAAAGGAAUUAAUGAACGACAUCAGAGCUGAAAUCCCAAACCAUAAAUCAUAAAAGGAUCAGACAGCAAAGAGUACUCAAAAGCUGAUUUAUUGAGAUCCUGAUGAGUUUGAAGUAACUAGAAACUUGAUCAAACAGUGACAAGACCCAAGAUUUGUUUUACUCUAAAGUGAGAAAUUAUCCUCAACAAAAAAACAUUUCACAGUGAGAAUCAGAAGAAUAUUUGCAUCAGGCAACUCUGGGUGCUAGAUAUUUAUUUUUUUUCUUUUUCACAUGAACUAUAAAAACUUACCACAAAAGACUGAUCUCCACAACUGCUUAUACUCUAGGAUUAUUAUACAUUGCACUGUUCUUGCUGAUACUCCAAAGACAUGUAGAAAAUAGAAAGAGAUUCCAAA